GUAGGUGGCAAGCGUUGUCCGGAAUUAUUGGGCGUAAAGCGCGCGCAGGCGGUUUUUUAAGUCUGAUGUGAAAGCCCACGGCUCAACCGUGGAGGGUCAUUGGAAACUGGAGAACUUGAGUACAGAAGAGGAAAGCGGAAUUCCGCGUGUAGCGGUGAAAUGCGUAGAGAUGUGGAGGAACACCAGUGGCGAAGGCGGCUUUCUGGUCUGUAACUGACGCUGAGGCGCGAAAGCGUGGGGAGCAAACAGGGAUUAGAUACCCUGGUAGUCCACGCCGUAAACGAUGAGUGCUAAGUGUUAGGGGGUUUCCCGCCCCCUUAGUGCUGCAGCUAACGCAUUAAGCACUCCGCCUGGGGAGUACGGCCGCAAGGCUG
RNAcentral lists this ribosomal RNA (374 nucleotides) under uncultured organism. Its description in RNAcentral is "partial 16S ribosomal RNA". It matches the Rfam family "Bacterial small subunit ribosomal RNA", at positions 527 to 896 of the family's 1533-position model. The record is from RNAcentral.